This is a long non-coding RNA of Centruroides sculpturatus (bark scorpion), 1318 nucleotides long. RefSeq lists it as uncharacterized. The record is from RefSeq and is a predicted model, not a curated record. The transcript is spliced from 5 exons. Lineage: Eukaryota; Metazoa; Arthropoda; Arachnida; Scorpiones; Buthidae.
AUUAUCGACUUCGCUUAUAUGCCAAACAAUUUUCAUCAAAUGGUCAAUUUUCAGAAUGUUUUCUAACUAAUUAACUUUGCUGAUCAAUUUCUUAUAUGAAGGAUAAAUACUUUAGGGUAAAGCUUUUGACAAUUUACAUUAGAGAUCGAGAAUUCGGAAAUCUUGUUCCUUUUUUAUCGAGAGGCUAAGGCGACAGGUAAAUCUGUGUUCAUGAGAGCUGAUUGCUUAACAAUUGAUGGAAAUAACUUUACGUUUGACCUAUUGAAUAACUAGUUGAUGAAGUAAGUUUUUUGAAGACAAAGUCCUUCCCAAAAAGAGGAACCGCCAUUUAUUAACUUUGUGUUCCAGCCAUUACACUUUUUAAAAAACUUUUUAAAAACUUAAUCAUAAUUAUCGCCAUCGGACGAAGAUUUACCAAAAAAAAGUUGAUGAAGAUUGAAACUUUUUUAUUACCAGGGAAGUUGACGACUCAUCAAAUGGAGGAAAACUAAAAACUUUACUUGUUAUCUCUUGCUCAGAUGAUUUUUUUACGUUAACGGUUUUAUCUUAGAAUAGCCAAGGUUUAUUAUAUACUAAUUUUGCUGAUACGAGUUUUGUUGAUUUUGUCUUUUCAUAUCGUAUUAUUGGUAUAACUGAAUCGUGGAUGAUAUUUUCGAUGGAAAACUUCUUUCGACGUUGGAUUCUCAAUUUUAUUUUAUUGAAUUUCUAGCUCACAAAUCUGAGGGACCUGGAAGAUCAUCUAGUGGUUUGUUAAUAGUUUUCCCGGAAGCUUGAAAAUAUUUUCUUGGUUCAUGCGAUUUUCAAGAAUCAGAAUUCAGUCAACAUGGUUUACAAUCUCUUGAUUUUUCUCAGGUUAGAAGUUCUCAAGAACUAUUUUCCGAUCAUUUCUCACAGUCGGAAAAAGAGGAACCGUCCCAAAUUACUACAUCCAUAAAUUCAACAAGAAAAGCAUCAUUGAUAGAAGACUUUGGAAAAAAUACAGAUGAAAUGUUAAACGUUUCAAAAUUAUUAAUGGAUGCUAAGGAAAAAGAUGAAAAGGUAUUCUUAGAAAAAAUUUCUCAUGAUAUAAAAGAACAUUCUUUGAAAUUAUCAACUCUCUCUGAAAUUAUGCAAAAAAUGGUCGAUGAAAACAGAAAUAAUAAACAAAAAAUCUCUGAAUUUAUGGAAGGAAUAAACAAAUAUUUAGAAAAGACCGAACACGAAAUUUUGUUGACAUCACAAAACUUAAAAGAAAUAAUCAAGAUUCAGGUGAGAAAAUUAAAAUUAUUUUAAAAUAUUCUAUAUAAAAUAAAUUUACAUUUUGAUUGUGUAUGACACA